RNAcentral lists this ribosomal RNA (254 nucleotides) under uncultured bacterium. Its description in RNAcentral is "partial 16S ribosomal RNA". It matches the Rfam family "Bacterial small subunit ribosomal RNA", at positions 524 to 776 of the family's 1533-position model. The record is from RNAcentral.
CACGUAGGCACCAAGCGUUGUCCGGAUUUAUUGGGCGUAAAGAGCUCGUAGGCGGUUCAGUAAGUCGGGUGUGAAAACUCUGGGCUCAACCCAGAGACGCCACCCGAUACUGCUGUGACUUGAGUACGGUAGGGGAGUGGGGAAUUCCUGGUGUAGCGGUGAAAUUCGUAGAUAUCGGGAGGAACACCGGUGGCGAAGGCGGCGACCUGGGUAGAUACUGACGCUGAGGCGCGAAAGCGUGGGGAGCAAACAGG